RNAcentral lists this ribosomal RNA (477 nucleotides) under uncultured bacterium. RNAcentral's name for it is "partial 16S ribosomal RNA". It matches the Rfam family "Bacterial small subunit ribosomal RNA", at positions 28 to 507 of the family's 1533-position model. The record is from RNAcentral.
GAUGAACGCUGGCGGCGUGCCUAACACAUGCAAGUCGAACGAAGCACCUUACCUGAUUCUUCGGAUGAAAGUUUGGUGACUGAGUGGCGGACGGGUGAGUAACGCGUGGGUAACCUGCCCUGUACAGGGGGAUAACAGCUGGAAACGGCUGCUAAUACCGCAUAAGCGCACGAGGAGACAUCUCCUUGUGUGAAAAACUCCGGUGGUACAGGAUGGGCCCGCGUCUGAUUAGCUGGUUGGCAGGGUAACGGCCUACCAAGGCAACGAUCAGUAGCCGGUCUGAGAGGAUGAACGGCCACAUUGGAACUGAGACACGGUCCAAACUCCUACGGGAGGCAGCAGUGGGGAAUAUUGCACAAUGGGGGAAACCCUGAUGCAGCAACGCCGCGUGAGUGAAGAAGUAUUUCGGUAUGUAAAGCUCUAUCAGCAGGGAAGAUAAUGACGUUACCUGACUAAGAAGCGCCGGCUAAAUACGUG